This 397-nucleotide long non-coding RNA is filed under the name Parus major (Great Tit). RNAcentral's name for it is "lncRNA (ENSPMJG00000003583.1)". Lineage: Eukaryota; Metazoa; Chordata; Aves; Passeriformes; Paridae. The record is from RNAcentral.
AAAACACAGCAAUGUCCAUAAUGGAUUGUAAAAUCUGUAGUCUGCUAAAAUUUUUUGCAAUCUCUCACAGGUUCAACACCUUCAUCCAGGUUUGAAUCAGCACAUCAUCUCAUACAUGGAAUCACAGAAUACCCUGAUUUGGAAGGUGCCCACAAGGAUCAUCAAGCUGAAAUCCUGGCCCUACACAGGACAUCCCUAAGAAUCACACCAUCUGUCACCAUGUACAUCAUCAACCCCUGCACUGAAAGGACUUUUGAACCUCAGAUAAGAUGCUUCCAACUUGAAACAGAACAGUCCAGAACUGAUUUGCACAGAACUUUUGAUUGUGCUUGUGAAAGUGUUGUCACAGGUGGCAAAGACAGAUGAGAGUGUGGAGCCAUCAUUCACACCAGCAUCA